Molecule: long non-coding RNA, 227 nt
Filed under: Physcomitrium patens
Lineage: Eukaryota; Viridiplantae; Streptophyta; Bryopsida; Funariales; Funariaceae
Description: long non-coding RNA (PPAT_LNC008120)
Source: RNAcentral
CGAUCCUCAAUUGCCAUCUAUACGCGUGCGUUAUGCCCAAAAGAGUGACAGUAGGUCCAAAACUAACAUCUUAACUUUGAGCGCCUAUAACUUCUUCAUAAAAAUCCCAAAUGACACAAAACUUGCACCAAAACCUUAACCAAAAACCUAAACCUUCUGAUCUUAGCCUUCAAAGUUCGAAUCUCCUGAGAAACUAACCCUAAUCCCUAAUAUGGCCUCGGGCAGCC